GACGAACGCUGGCGGCGUGCUUAACACAUGCAAGUCGAACGGGCCCGCCCCUGUUUUUGGGGGUGGGUUGAGUGGCGAACGGGUGAGUAUCACGUGAGUAACCUGCCCCCUGCUCCUGGAUAACUGCUUGAAAGGGCGGCUAAUACGGGGUGUGCCGGCUGGUCCGCAUGGGCCUGGUCGGGAUAGUUUCAUCUUCGGGUGUUUCGGUGGGGGAUGGGCUCGCGGCCUAUCAGCUUGUUGGUGGGGUGAUGGCCCACCAAGGCGGUGACGGGUAGCCGGCCUGAGAGGGUGGGCGGCCACACUGGGACUGAGACACGGCCCAGACGCCUGCGGGAGGCAGCAGUGGGGGGUAUUGCACAAUGGGCGGAAGCCUGAGGCAGCGACGUCGCGUGAGGGAUGGAGGCCGUCGGGUUGUGAACCUCUUUCUCCGGUGGUGAAGGCCCUGUCCGUUGCGGCGGGGUUGACGGUAGCCGGGGAUGAAGCGCCGGCUAACUACGUG
This 499-nucleotide ribosomal RNA is filed under the name uncultured bacterium. RNAcentral's name for it is "partial 16S ribosomal RNA". It matches the Rfam family "Bacterial small subunit ribosomal RNA", at positions 28 to 507 of the family's 1533-position model. The record is from RNAcentral.